GUGCUUGCUUUAGCAGUACAUACACUAAAAUUGCAGCGAUACAGAGAAGAUUAACAUGGCCCCUGUGCAAGGAUGACACGCAAAUUCGGAAGCGUUCCAUGUUUUA
RNAcentral lists this small nuclear RNA (106 nucleotides) under Catagonus wagneri (Chacoan peccary). The record is from RNAcentral. Lineage: Eukaryota; Metazoa; Chordata; Mammalia; Artiodactyla; Tayassuidae.